CUACGGGGGGCAGCAGUUAGGUAUAAUCUACAAUGCGCGCAAGCGUGAUAGUUUGAGCCAGAGUGUUUUUCAUUGAAAGACUUUUAUGGAAUGUAAAAAGUUCCACGAAUAAGGACUGGGUAAGACUAGUGCCAGCCGCCGCGGUAAUACUAGCGGUCCAAGUCGCAGCCAUUUUUAUUGGGUCUAAAACAUCCGUAGCUUGCUUGAUAAGUCUUCUGUGAAAUUUUAUAUCUCAAAUAUGAAGCGUGCAGAAGGUACUGUCAAGCUAGAGACUGGUAGACGUAAAGAGUAUGUUCAGAGUAGCGGUAAAAUGUGUUAAUCCUGGACAGACUAACAAGAGCGAAGGCACUUUACGAGAACAGUUCUGACAGUAAGGGAUGAAGGCUAGGGGCGCAAAACGGAUUAGAUACCCUGGUAGUC
This 420-nucleotide ribosomal RNA is filed under the name uncultured archaeon. Its description in RNAcentral is "partial 16S ribosomal RNA". It matches the Rfam family "Archaeal small subunit ribosomal RNA", at positions 323 to 746 of the family's 1478-position model. The record is from RNAcentral.